RNAcentral lists this ribosomal RNA (490 nucleotides) under uncultured bacterium. RNAcentral describes it as "partial 16S ribosomal RNA". It matches the Rfam family "Bacterial small subunit ribosomal RNA", at positions 30 to 507 of the family's 1533-position model. The record is from RNAcentral.
AUUGAGCGCUGGCGGCAUGCCCUACACAUGCAAGUCGAACGGCAGCAUGAUCUAGCUUGCUAGAUUGAUGGCGAGUGGCGAACGGGUGAGUAAUACAUCGGAACGUGCCCUGUAGUGGGGGAUAACUAGUCGAAAGAUUAGCUAAUACCGCAUACGACCUGAGGGUGAAAGUGGGGGACCGCAAGGCCUCAUGCUAUAGGAGCGGCCGAUGUCUGAUUAGCUAGUUGGUGAGGUAAAGGCUCACCAAGGCGACGAUCAGUAGCUGGUCUGAGAGGACGAUCAGCCACACUGGGACUGAGACACGGCCCAGACUCCUACGGGAGGCAGCAGUGGGGAAUUUUGGACAAAGGGCGAAAGCCUGAUCCAGCAAUGCCGCGUGUGUGAAGAAGGCCUUCGGGUUGUAAAGCACUUUUGUCCGGAAAGAAAUGGCUCUGGUUAAUACCUGGGGUCGAUGACGGUACCGGAAGAAUAAGGACCGGCUAACUACGUG